GCCUGGGUGGCUCAAUCGGUUGAGCGUCCGACUUUGGCUCAGGUCAUGAUCUCGUGGUUUGUGAGUUCGAGCCCCGCAUCAGGCU
RNAcentral lists this transfer RNA (85 nucleotides) under Felis catus (domestic cat). It matches the Rfam family "tRNA". Rfam says of the family: Transfer RNA (tRNA) molecules are approximately 80 nucleotides in length. The record is from Rfam by way of RNAcentral. RNAcentral also lists the same sequence under 3 other names. Lineage: Eukaryota; Metazoa; Chordata; Mammalia; Carnivora; Felidae.